CAUGCAAGUCGAGCGGUAGCACAGAGAGCUUGCUCUCGGGUGACGAGCGGCGGACGGGUGAGUAAUGUCUGGGAAACUGCCUGAUGGAGGGGGAUAACUACUGGAAACGGUAGCUAAUACCGCAUAAUGUCGCAAGACCAAAGUGGGGGACCUUCGGGCCUCAUGCCAUCAGAUGUGCCCAGAUGGGAUUAGCUAGUAGGUGGGGUAACGGCUCACCUAGGCGACGAUCCCUAGCUGGUCUGAGAGGAUGACCAGCCACACUGGAACUGAGACACGGUCCAGACUCCUACGGGAGGCAGCAGUGGGGAAUAUUGCACAAUGGGCGCAAGCCUGAUGCAGCCAUGCCGCGUGUGUGAAGAAGGCCUUCGGGUUGUAAAGCACUUUCAGCGGGGAGGAAGGCGUUAAGGUUAAUAACCUUGUCGAUUGACGUUACCCGCAGAAGAAGCACCGGCUAACUCCGUGCCAGCAGCCGCGGUAAUACGGAGGGUGCAAGCGUUAAUCGGAAUUACUGGGCGUAAAGCGCACGCAGGCGGUCUGUCAAGUCGGAUGUGAAAUCCCCGGGCUCAACCUGGGAACUGCAUUCGAAACUGGCAGGCUAGAGUCUUGUAGAGGGGGGUAGAAUUCCAGGUGUAGCGGUGAAAUGCGUAGAGAUCUGGAGGAAUACCGGUGGCGAAGGCGGCCCCCUGGACAAAGACUGACGCUCAGGUGCGAAAGCGUGGGGAGCAAACAGGAUUAGAUACCCUGGUAGUCCACGCCGUAACGAUGUCGAUUUGGAGGUUGUGCCCUUGAGGCGUGGCUUCCGGAGCUAACGCGUUAAAUCGACCGCCUGGGGAGUACGGCCGCAAGGUUAAAACUCAAAUGAAUUGACGGGGGCCCGCACAAGCGGUGGAGCAUGUGGUUUAAUUCGAUGCAACGCGAAGAACCUUACCUGGUCUUGACAUCCACAGAACUUUCCAGAGAUGGAUUGGUGCCUUCGGGAACUGUGAGACAGGUGCUGCAUGGCUGUCGUCAGCUCGUGUUGUGAAAUGUUGGGUUAAGUCCCGCAACGAGCGCAACCCUUAUCCUUUGUUGCCAGCGGUUAGGCCGGGAACUCAAAGGAGACUGCCAGUGAUAAACUGGAGGAAGGUGGGGAUGACGUCAAGUCAUCAUGGCCCUUACGACCAGGGCUACACACGUGCUACAAUGGCAUAUACAAAGAGAAGCGACCUCGCGAGAGCAAGCGGACCUCAUAAAGUAUGUCGUAGUCCGGAUUGGAGUCUGCAACUCGACUCCAUGAAGUCGGAAUCGCUAGUAAUCGUAGAUCAGAAUGCUACGGUGAAUACGUUCCCGGGCCUUGUACACACCGCCCGUCACACCAUGGGAGUGGGUUGCAAAAGAAGUAGGUAGCUUAACCUUCGGGAGGGCGCUACC
RNAcentral lists this ribosomal RNA (1410 nucleotides) under Klebsiella sp. ii_3_chl_1. RNAcentral describes it as "16S ribosomal RNA". It matches the Rfam family "Bacterial small subunit ribosomal RNA". Lineage: Bacteria; Pseudomonadati; Pseudomonadota; Gammaproteobacteria; Enterobacterales; Enterobacteriaceae. The record is from RNAcentral.